Molecule: ribosomal RNA, 358 nt
Filed under: SAR86 cluster bacterium
Lineage: Bacteria; Pseudomonadati; Pseudomonadota; Gammaproteobacteria
Description: bacterial SSU rRNA
Rfam family: Bacterial small subunit ribosomal RNA
Source: RNAcentral
UAAUUGAAGAGUUUGAUCAUGGCUCAGAUUGAACGCUGGCGGUAGGCUUAACACAUGCAAGUCGUGCGAGAAAGUAUCUUCGGAUAUGAUUAGAGCGGCGGACGGGUGAGUAACGCGUAGGAAUCUACCUAGUAGAAGGGGAUAGCCCGAGGAAACUCGGAUUAAUACCGUAUACCUCCUUCGGGAGAAAGAAGGCCUCUCUUUGAAGCUUUCGCUACUAGAUGAGCCUGCGUAAGAUUAGCUUGUUGGUGAGGUAAAGGCUCACCAAGGCGACGAUCUUUAGCGGGUCUGAGAGGACGAUCCGCCACAUUGGGACUGAGACACGGCCCAGACUCCUACGGGAGGCAGCAGUGGGGAA